This 253-nucleotide ribosomal RNA is filed under the name uncultured bacterium. RNAcentral's name for it is "partial 16S ribosomal RNA". It matches the Rfam family "Bacterial small subunit ribosomal RNA", at positions 524 to 776 of the family's 1533-position model. The record is from RNAcentral.
UACGGGGGGUGCGAGCGUUGUCCGGAAUCACUGGGCGUAAAGGGCGCGUAGGCGGUUUGAUAAGGGUGUGGUGAAAGUCCGGGGCUCAACCCCGGAUCUGCCGUGCCGACUGUCAAACUCGAGGACUGUAGAGGCAGACGGAAUUCCGGGUGUAGCAGUGAAAUGCGUAGAGAUGCGGAGGAACACCGAUGGCGAAGGCAGCCCCCUGGGUUGACACUGACGCUCAGGCACGAAAGCGUGGGGAGCAAACAGG